CGAACGCUGGCGGCGUGCUUAACACAUGCAAGUCGAGCGAUGAAGUUUCUUCGGAAAUGGAUUAGCGGCGAACGGGUGAGGAACACGUGAAGAAUCUGCCCUCCACUUUGGGAUAACACCGGGAAACCGGUGCUAAUACCGAAUAUUGAAACAUAAGUGGCAUCACUGAGUUUUGAAAGAAUUUCGGUGGAGGAUGACUUCGCGGCCUAUCAGCUAGUUGGUGAGGUAAUGGCUCACCAAGGCAACGACGGGUAGCCGGCCUGAGAGGGCGACCGGCCACACUGGGACUGAGACACGGCCCAGACUCCUACGGGAGGCAGCAGUGGGGAAUAUUGGGCAAUGGAGGAAACUCUGACCCAGCGACGCCGCGUGCGGGAUGAAGGCCUCGGUUGUAACCGCUUUCAGUAGGAGAAGCGAAAGUGACGGUACCGUACAAACGAAGCACCGGCUAACUACGUGCCAGCAGCCGCGGUAAUCU
RNAcentral lists this ribosomal RNA (478 nucleotides) under uncultured bacterium. RNAcentral describes it as "bacterial SSU rRNA". It matches the Rfam family "Bacterial small subunit ribosomal RNA", at positions 30 to 526 of the family's 1533-position model. The record is from RNAcentral.